RNAcentral lists this non-coding RNA (93 nucleotides) under uncultured Symbiodinium. Lineage: Eukaryota; Dinophyceae; Suessiales; Symbiodiniaceae. The record is from RNAcentral.
UUUAGCUGCAGCUUAUAAAAGUGUACAAAUGUAAAGUUGAUUGCAUUGUGUUAUAAAACUAUUUUGAGAUAAAAAAAAAAAAACAAAACAAAA